AUUGAACGCUGGCGGCAUGCUUUACACAUGCAAGUCGAACGGUAACAGGCCUUCGGGUACUGACGAGUGGCGAACGGGUGAGUAAUGCAUCGGAACGUGCCCAGAGGUGGGGGAUAACGCAGCGAAAGCUGUGCUAAUACCGCAUGUGAUCUGAGGAUGAAAGCGGGGGACCAGGCAGCAAUGUUUGGCCUCGCGCCUUUGGAGCGGCCGAUGUCAGAUUAGGUAGUUGGUGGGGUAAAGGCCUACCAAGCCGACGAUCUGUAGCUGGUCUGAGAGGACGACCAGCCACACUGGGACUGAGACACGGCCCAGACUCCUACGGGAGGCAGCAGUGGGGAAUUUUGGACAAUGGGCGCAAGCCUGAUCCAGCAAUGCCGCGUGCGGGAAGAAGGCCUUCGGGUUGUAAACCGCUUUUGUACGGAACGAAAAGGCUCUGGCUAAUACCUGGGGCUGAUGACGGUACCGUAAGAAUAAGCACCGGCUAACUACGUG
This 492-nucleotide ribosomal RNA is filed under the name uncultured bacterium. RNAcentral's name for it is "partial 16S ribosomal RNA". It matches the Rfam family "Bacterial small subunit ribosomal RNA", at positions 30 to 507 of the family's 1533-position model. The record is from RNAcentral.